RNAcentral lists this long non-coding RNA (2379 nucleotides) under Sorghum bicolor (sorghum). Its description in RNAcentral is "long non-coding RNA (SBIC_LNC013395)". The record is from RNAcentral. Lineage: Eukaryota; Viridiplantae; Streptophyta; Magnoliopsida; Poales; Poaceae.
UUACCGUGGCGAGUGGACUGGAAGGAGUAGACCACUCCCCUUUUCUUCUCUCUUUGUUCCACCCUCUCUUGACUCUCGUCAAUCAUAAUGGCGUACGGGUUGAGAGAGAUCAGAGUUUCUUGUGCUUACAACCGUUUAGUUCUCGUCAAUCUCUAUGACGCUUGGAUCGAAAGUUCGUAAGCCAUGGUGUUUACUUAAAAUGAGUUAGAGUCUACGCCUUUGUUACUAAAGCCGUACAGGUCGACACGAUCGACUCGGGAAGUAACGGCUAGGCGAAGACUCCAGCUUGUACUUAGUAAACACCAUUCCCAUUUCUUUUAGCCCAGGGAUCGGACAUCCGCCGAGAGGGCUAAGCCGUUUUCCUUUCGGUGCUCUUUCAGUGUAGUUGCCCAUCAGUGUUUUGUCGCCUCUUUCGCAGUCUCUCUAGGACUAGUGGGUUGAUUGUUUCGCCUUGUUUGUCGCUUUCGAGGUAGAUGCUUCGGUUAGCGUUGAUCGAAUCGGAACCAGUCGAAGGAAGGACAUGCAGAUAGGAGAAAGACCUUGGAUGAGUACAACUACAAGUGAACUGAGGAUCUUGGGAAUGUCACUCGACAGGUGCCACGUCCCACCCAACCUCGUAGAAUCCUAUUAGACAUGCAAUAUUGUAGAUGCUAGUGCUUUACUUUUAUGCAAAUGAAUUGAGAUAGGUUGCAUGGUAGAAAUGCUUGUGAGCCAUUGCCUUGUUGCAACCUAUAACCCUCGCACACCCGCUGUUAGGUUAGACGCUUGCAUACUACUUGCUACUGCUUCUACUACGCAUUAUAUCUGUGAUGUGAUGCAUUGUGGAGGAUUGGAUGUGAGUGGAUAAGGCACGUGGUGCCGAUAACUGGAUAAGGAAUGGAUAAUGGAUUUGGGGAGAUCUUGGCGUGUGUCUUGGGUGUGUGGUGAGGGUCGAGUCGACCGAGCAGGAUUUACGACGAGUCUUGGGACAAGUCUUGCCGGGGAAUGCUACCUGGGCGUUCUCCACGAGAGGUACCUGUGGCGGGUACAUGUGAUAGGGAGAGGUCCCGGAGUGGAGUGUCUUCGUGGGACGAAGCACCGAGAUAGGAGGUGCUGUUUAGCACGGGGUAGUCGGGUGUCCCGUCGAGAGGGGCAUCGGCUGGCCCCUCGUGAAGAUGUCCUGUUCGGUUACCCUAAGGACUGAGAUGUUCUGAGAACCGGUUCGUAGGAAGCCUUACACGCCACUCGCCUUAUUAUGGUGCGGGACGGAUGUACGACCAGCUAGUGCGGUGCCACUACUACUAGGUUGAUAGCGGAUAGUGUAGGGAGGUACGGGCAUGAGGACCCACACCCUCCUAAGACAGCGUAGUGACCUUUGGGGGCCCGGUACUACGCCUCACAGUCUCAGCAUGCCGGUGGUACUCCGGUGUGGCCCCAGUCCUGAGUGGUAGGGUGGCAUCGUAUUUAGUUGGAAGGCAGCCCGGUAUCAGCCUAGACGAGCCGGUUCGUCGAUGAUGGUGAUCUUGUGGUUAGUGUAAACCUCUGCAGAGUUUGGUUGAUCGAUCGAUACAUAUGCCGUCUUCUCGGCUAUGGACCUUUUCUAUGUUCCGCUUCGCUUGACUAGUGAGAGGAGUCCUUUCUACCUUCCCCUGGGUUUGUGUUGGAUCCGGCGUUGGCCGUUGAGGCAAGGCACGAGCGGGAGUCGUACUUGCCGCCUAGAGAAUGAGAGUGUGGUGAGAUGUGUGUGAUGGGAUGGAUGGAUGGAUGGAUGUGUGGAUGAGAUGGAAUAAAACUUGAUGAAUUAUUAUUAUAAAAUAUUGAUGAACUUGCAUAGGAAAAACUACAGCUAUACAUAGGCCUCUUGAUAUACCCUUUGCAUUUCCACCUACCACAAAGCUUACGCAAAAGCAUAGGGUGGGAGCCAGUGGCCAGUACAAAUCGUACUGAAAAUUGUUUAGCAGGUUUUGAACGUGGUCUAUGACGAUAACUACGGAGAAUAGAAGGAUUAGGUGGUCUCGCUCCUGCGCUCAAGUUUGGUUCAGAGAUGAAGGCUACGCCCGCUGAUAAACUACGCCGACUCUGAUGAUUGUCCGUGAAGGAGGAGCCUUCACCGCUGACGCGCUACAUCGACUCUGAUAAAGACUCGCGUGUGUUCUCGCUAGAAAAACGAUGUAAUAGGCUUGUUGACCAAGAGUUGUAAAGUAAAUGUGUUGUAAUCUUGUUUCUCACGAUGUAUGACUACGAUAACAGCUGAUAUAUGAUAAUGCGAUAGUUCAAUUUUUGAAUUAUCACAUUAUAAUUCGAAUCUGUGGAUUUUUCCCUUUGUGGAAGAAUCUAGGUCGUUUCAGGAGCCGAAGAGGAGCCCUACCAAACAGGCCCUUAAUAUUGCUGGUGGACACU